CAGUCGAGCGGACAGAUGGGAGCUUGCUCCCUGAUGUUAGCGGCGGACGGGUGAGUAACACGUGGGUAACCUGCCUGUAAGACUGGGAUAACUCCGGGAAACCGGGGCUAAUACCGGAUGGUUGUUUGAACCGCAUGGUUCAAACAUAAAAGGUGGCUUCGGCUACCACUUACAGAUGGACCCGCGGCGCAUUAGCUAGUUGGUGAGGUAACGGCUCACCAAGGCAACGAUGCGUAGCCGACCUGAGAGGGUGAUCGGCCACACUGGGACUGAGACACGGCCCAGACUCCUACGGGAGGCAGCAGUAGGGAAUCUUCCGCAAUGGACGAAAGUCUGACGGAGCAACGCCGCGUGAGUGAUGAAGGUUUUCGGAUCGUAAAGCUCUGUUGUUAGGGAAGAACAAGUACCGUUCGAAUAGGGCGGUACCUUGACGGUACCUAACCAGAAAGCCACGGCUAACUACGUGCCAGCAGCCGCGGUAAUACGUAGGUGGCAAGCGUUGUCCGGAAUUAUUGGGCGUAAAGGGCUCGCAGGCGGUUUCUUAAGUCUGAUGUGAAAGCCCCCGGCUCAACCGGGGAGGGUCAUUGGAAACUGGGGAACUUGAGUGCAGAAGAGGAGAGUGGAAUUCCACGUGUAGCGGUGAAAUGCGUAGAGAUGUGGAGGAACACCAGUGGCGAAGGCGACUCUCUGGUCUGUAACUGACGCUGAGGAGCGAAAGCGUGGGGAGCGAACAGGAUUAGAUACCCUGGUAGUCCACGCCGUAAACGAUGAGUGCUAAGUGUUAGGGGGUUUCCGCCCCUUAGUGCUGCAGCUAACGCAUUAAGCACUCCGCCUGGGGAGUACGGUCGCAAGACUGAAACUCAAAGGAAUUGACGGGGGCCCGCACAAGCGGUGGAGCAUGUGGUUUAAUUCGAAGCAACGCGAAGAACCUUACCAGGUCUUGACAUCCUCUGACAAUCCUAGAGAUAGGACGUCCCCUUCGGGGGCAGAGUGACAGGUGGUGCAUGGUUGUCGUCAGCUCGUGUCGUGAGAUGUUGGGUUAAGUCCCGCAACGAGCGCAACCCUUGAUCUUAGUUGCCAGCAUUCAGUUGGGCACUCUAAGGUGACUGCCGGUGACAAACCGGAGGAAGGUGGGGAUGACGUCAAAUCAUCAUGCCCCUUAUGACCUGGGCUACACACGUGCUACAAUGGACAGAACAAAGGGCAGCGAAACCGCGAGGUUAAGCCAAUCCCACAAAUCUGUUCUCAGUUCGGAUCGCAGUCUGCAACUCGACUGCGUGAAGCUGGAAUCGCUAGUAAUCGCG
This 1304-nucleotide ribosomal RNA is filed under the name Bacillus sp. 97(2015). Its description in RNAcentral is "bacterial SSU rRNA". It matches the Rfam family "Bacterial small subunit ribosomal RNA", at positions 59 to 1346 of the family's 1533-position model. Lineage: Bacteria; Bacillati; Bacillota; Bacilli; Caryophanales; Bacillaceae. The record is from RNAcentral.